AAACUCGUGAUUAUACCCAACGGAAGCCUGUAAAGACCUGCUGCUCACUCGAGGGUCAACACUGCCGUUCGUGCUCAACUUUGACUUUCGGGAAAGGAACCCUUAAGUAAAAGAGAACCAGAGUGGGAUUACGUGCUUCAGUAAACUCAAACGAAGAGGCUCAGAACAAUGUCAUCGCUCGUCACAAUCUGCUUCCUUGCGGCGUUGGGCAUGCUAACACUGAAUGCCGGUGCGAGCAAUCUUCAGGACUUGAGGCCUCCGCAGUGUGAGCAUGGAAUGGAAUACAGCACGUGCGAAACUGCAUGUCCUCGCAUAUGUGGCGAGCGCCAACCAUUAGCAUGCGCCGCUGUCUGCUUCCAAACCUGCAAGUGCAAAGAGGGCUUCAUUCGCUCUGGAAGCGCAACUGGGCCAUGUAUCCCAGAAGAUCAAUGCCAUCUUCUGCCGGAGGACAUACCUGAAGGAGCUACAUACCCGAAGGAGAAGGAGCUUCCACUAGAGCCUUGUGGUGAUUAGAAGGCGAGGAAACCGAUUCAAAUUGCACUCGUCUUGAACUGUUUUACAUGAGCAGAUUGCAAUAAACAUAGAAAGCGUG
Long non-coding RNA from Ornithodoros turicata, 592 nucleotides. RefSeq lists it as uncharacterized. The record is from RefSeq and is a predicted model, not a curated record. The transcript is spliced from 3 exons. NCBI's taxonomy places the organism in Eukaryota, Metazoa, Arthropoda, Arachnida, Ixodida, Argasidae.